Molecule: small nucleolar RNA, 79 nt
Organism: Mesocricetus auratus (golden hamster)
Lineage: Eukaryota; Metazoa; Chordata; Mammalia; Rodentia; Cricetidae
Gene: SNORD115
Rfam family: Small nucleolar RNA SNORD115
About the family: HBII-52 is a member of the C/D class of snoRNAs, which contain the C (UGAUGA) and D (CUGA) box motifs. HBII-52 is encoded in a tandemly repeated array with another C/D snoRNA, HBII-85, in the Prader-Willi syndrome (PWS) region of chromosome 15. HBII-52 is exclusively expressed in the brain but is absent in PWS patients.
Source: Ensembl
AGGUCUAUGAUGACAAACCAAAGUCAUGAAGAGUGGUGAUGACAAAAAAAUCAUGCUCAAUAGGAUUAUGCUGAGACCC